RNAcentral lists this unclassified non-coding RNA (362 nucleotides) under fungal sp. RNAcentral's name for it is "partial internal transcribed spacer region". The stretch from base 1 to 46 matches the Rfam family "Eukaryotic small subunit ribosomal RNA", at positions 1786 to 1831 of the family's 1831-position model. Lineage: Eukaryota; Fungi. The record is from RNAcentral.
AAGUCGUAACAAGGUUUCCGUAGGUGAACCUGCGGAAGGAUCAUUAAACAAAUUUUAAUUCCACCGUCAACCAACACAAAUCGUAUUGCGUCAGCAAUAUGAUUUGUGUUCGUUGCUUUUUCUUUUUCUUUACCAGCCAACUGUUCACGCAGUUUUUAUUUACGGGCCAACUGCUUACGCAGUUGAGUUGUAGAUAUUUGAUUCAACUGCGUAAGCAGUUGGCAGUAAAGAAAAGAAAAGAAAAGAGUUAUAGCGAUAGCUAACGCCAUCGCAAUAACACUUUUCGGUACAGACGAUAUAUAUGUUGACGAACACAGACAAAUAAUGUAAACAACUUUUAACAAUGGAUCUCUUGGCUCUUA